GGUCUGUAUCAAAAGACAGAAUCUUGAUGACUAAGACAUUUUCUUUGGACCCAGGAGAUGAACAUAUGCCUGAGAAGAAGAACUAGUGUGGAACUGUCAGCCAGGUUUUUGAUGAGUGCUCAGACUGCUUCCUGAUCCCGCACCACAUUUACUAUAGUGGACAGAUGCUCUAGUCUCUGAUGAGGAGUUGCUAGCUGUUAGGAAAAACCUGGAAUGGGCUCCACUGCAUGAGGUUUGAAGUCUCCAGAGCAGCAAAGAGAGUGGGGAGUAGAACUCAUCAUCUUUAGGUCACUCAGCAUCGA
RNAcentral lists this long non-coding RNA (302 nucleotides) under Mus musculus (house mouse). Its description in RNAcentral is "predicted gene, 57929". The record is from RNAcentral. Lineage: Eukaryota; Metazoa; Chordata; Mammalia; Rodentia; Muridae.